UCGUGGGAUUUGAAACGAUCUCAAUCUUCUUCUUUCUUCAUUCAUUAUUCUUUCACCCCAUCCCACUCCUUCCACUCUCUCCACAACCGAAACCCUAGACAACUCCCUCCCAGCGCCGCGUCUGAAGAUUGGGGAUUUUGUCGACCAAAUUUCGGAGGAAAUAGCUAUCACCGAUAACAUCUACUCAGAAACACCGAUUCGUUUCUACUAGGUUCAAAAUGCCGAAAAGAGGUCGUCCGCGCUCCCAAGCAUCACAGGAUGCAGAUAACCAGCUUAGAGUCGACAAAGACAGUGUUGUCGACGACAUUAUUCCCGUGGCGCUAGCAAAAAGAUUUAGGGAGAGGUUAGCCGAGAUAGGCCCUGGGACCUCUGGUAGUCAAGGUGAGCCUAAACCACCUACGGGGCGAAAACUUAGCACAGUCUUUGUUGGAAGACUUAGCACUUUAGAUAUUUUUACAACCUUGAAUACACUGAACAAUGUUUUUGAGCAUAGUCUUUCUAAUUUUGAUCUUGUGAACACUCAGCCGAACCGUAUGUGCAUUCUUUUUAAUCAGACGGAUACAAAUACUUUGU
This is a long non-coding RNA of Salvia splendens (bonfire salvia), 573 nucleotides long. RefSeq lists it as uncharacterized. NCBI's taxonomy places the organism in Eukaryota, Viridiplantae, Streptophyta, Magnoliopsida, Lamiales, Lamiaceae. The record is from RefSeq and is a predicted model, not a curated record. The transcript has 3 exons.